This 253-nucleotide ribosomal RNA is filed under the name uncultured bacterium. RNAcentral describes it as "partial 16S ribosomal RNA". It matches the Rfam family "Bacterial small subunit ribosomal RNA", at positions 524 to 776 of the family's 1533-position model. The record is from RNAcentral.
UACGUAGGGGGCAAGCGUUGUCCGGAUUUAUUGGGCGUAAAGAGCGUGUAGGCGGCUAGGUAGGUCUGCUGUGAAAACUCGAGGCUCAACCUCGAGAUGUCGGCGGAAACCAUCUGGCUAGAGUCCGGAAGAGGAGAAUGGAAUUCCCGGUGUAGCGGUGAAAUGCGCAGAUAUCGGGAAGAACACCCGUGGCGAAGGCGGUUCUCUGGGACGGUACUGACGCUGAGACGCGAAAGCGUGGGGAGCGAACAGG